GUCAGUGGUAUUUCUGACUAUAUCCUCAGUAUAACACUUGUCUGUUUACCUUAUAGCUCAAUCUGCAAAUGAAGAACCACAAACUGAAGUUCAGUACUCUGAGAUAUUACACAGUGAUAUAAGGCUAAGACAGGGACACGGACCACACAUACCAGAACUGGAUACCGAAGGAGAAGAGCCACCAUUAACCUCCAUCUAUGCCAAAAUUCAACCCCAUUCCCCAGAGGCCACUGGCACAGACAGUAAUGUGACGGGGAGUGGAAGCACUGUCUUGGGUCGCCUCUGAAAGUAAUUUCACUGCUUUGUACUGUGCACUAUACAUAUGCCAUACCAUAGCCAACCAUAUAGGCUAAAUCAAAAAGUGCUGGACGAUAAGAGAUCAGUUCAAAUAGUUUUUUACCUUAAGGCAAGCUAUCCACACAAUCAAUUAUUUAAAGGGUAUUUUGUCCAAUGACUAGUCAUAAUGAGGGCCCUGUUUUCACAGGACAUUAUUAUUUAGAAGCAGAGAAGAGAGCAAACUUCUGUGGCACAUAUUAUUUUGUAAAAGUCUCAUGUUUAUAUUUGACACAUCACAUUGCUAUACUCAGCACAAUUGCCAACUACCACAACAUCAAGAAUUUAUCUGGAAAAGUGGUCAUGACUCUACUGCUAUGAAUGAGAUAAACCACAAAUAUGGGUCUUACAUUUCAUUUGGAAGACACUUUGAGCUAAGGUGACUAUGUAUAAAGACAUCAGACAUUCGGUUUGGGUAAUGUUAAGAAGCUCAACUCAUCACCCAAGCCAUGCUAUCUGGCUUUAACAUUUAGUAGUGUAGUCAGUGGUAAUUCAGUCCAUGUGGAUUUCAGUUGGUCUCAUUUGUUUAUUCUAGCAGGAUGUGCCUUGCAGCUGUCAGUUAGACACACCUGCUCACAGGGGAAUUCCUGUUCCCUUUAUCCUUUCAGAAGUGUAACAUGAAUAUCUGUAUCCAUUCACAACCAUUUCAAUAAAAGAGACUUCUCCGCUUUCA
Alosa alosa (allis shad) is the source of this 1006-nucleotide long non-coding RNA. RefSeq lists it as uncharacterized. NCBI's taxonomy places the organism in Eukaryota, Metazoa, Chordata, Actinopteri, Clupeiformes, Clupeidae. The transcript has 2 exons. The record is from RefSeq and is a predicted model, not a curated record.